GUGCUCACUUCGGCAGCAUGUAUACUAAAAUUGGAAUGAUACAGAGAAGAUUAGCACAGCCCUUGCAUAAGAAUGACAUGUAAAUUUGUGAAGUAUUCCAUAUUUUU
Small nuclear RNA from Perognathus longimembris pacificus (Pacific pocket mouse), 107 nucleotides. NCBI's taxonomy places the organism in Eukaryota, Metazoa, Chordata, Mammalia, Rodentia, Heteromyidae. The record is from RefSeq and is a predicted model, not a curated record.